UUCUGACCGUAAACGAUGCCAACUAGCGAUCCGUCGGUGGCUCCAAGGCCCUGAUGGGGAGCUUCCCGGAAACGAAAGUCUUCCGGUUCCGGGGGAAGUAUGGUUGCAAAGCUGAAACUUAAAGGAAUUGACGGAAGGGCACCACCAGGAGUGGAGCCUGCGGCUUAAUUUGACUCAACACGGGAAAACUCACCCGGCCCGGACACCGUAAGGAUUGACAGAUUGAUAGCUUUUUCAUGAUUCGGUGGUUGGUGGUGCAUGGCCGUUCUUAGUUCGUGGAUCGAUUUGUCUGGUUUAUUCCGAUAACGAGCGAGACUCCAGCCUACUAACUAGUGUGGGCAUUGCCACUGUGCUCUUACACUUCUUAGAGGGAUUGGCUGCGUCUAGCGGCACGAAACGGAGCAAUAACAGGUCUGUGAUGCCCUUAGAUGUCCGGGGCUGCACGCGCGCUACACUGGCAAAGGCAGCGUGCUUGUCCGUCUCCGAAAGGAGUCGGUAAACCCUUGAAAAUUUGCCGUGAUUGGGAUCGGAAAUUGCAAUUAUUUUCCGUGAACGAGGAAUUCCUAGUAAGUGCGAGUCAUCAGCUCGCGUUG
RNAcentral lists this ribosomal RNA (593 nucleotides) under Criconemoides inusitatus. Its description in RNAcentral is "SSU rRNA". It matches the Rfam family "Eukaryotic small subunit ribosomal RNA", at positions 1024 to 1643 of the family's 1831-position model. The record is from RNAcentral. Lineage: Eukaryota; Metazoa; Nematoda; Chromadorea; Rhabditida; Criconematidae.